AGCUUUGUGGCUUACAUCCUUACGAUUUAUAUUGAAUCAAGAGUUUGGAGAAAGAACUCAAUGAUGUAAACAAGGAAAGCCAUCAUCUCCACUGCAGAGUUCGGGAACAAGCUGCGGAGGACCAGGAGCUCCUCAGGGAGAAUCGAGCAUUGAGGGAACAACGGGACAGAAAUGGACCCAAACGAGCUGUUGCAGCCAUCCAGGGAAAGUCCCCAGACCAUCUUUGGAGACCCCUGGAAAGUAACAUUGUUCAUCGUUGGGGUCUAUUUAUUCGUUGGCCUCUGCAUUUUUUUACCACCAACCACAACCUGGGGAGCCCUGGGGCACUGAAAUGUUGGUGGAACUAACAGGAGAAAGGAUAGAAUCCCUCAGGGCUGGAAGGAACCUUGAACAUCUUCUAGCCCAACCCCAAUGUUUUCUUGAAAAGCUCCCAUUAAGAAUAAGCUCUAUUAUCAUUGUUAAGAAAACAAUGCACCAGUCAGUUGUAUUUGAUUCUUUUCUUCUUCUUCAAUCCACAGAAAAAGGUGUCUGCAAGUGUCACCAGAGCAACAAAACGAAGAUGUGGAGGCUGAUAUCAUCACCGUGGAACGCUACAUACCGGAACCCAUCUACCCCAAUAUCACCUCAAUUGAUGAGCGAAGGAUGUCAGAUGUUCCACCUUGCACGACAAUGUGAUGGUUGGACAAAUUGUGGCCAUGGGUGAAAUUCCAUCCGUCACAUUGUUGACCAGACUGAACAUCUGACAUCGUCUUUCAUCGAUUAUGGUGAUGUUGGGAUCGAUGGAUUCAGAAAAAGGUGUCUGCAAGUGUCACCAGAGCAACAAAAUGAAGACGUGGAGGCUGAUAUCAUCACUGUGGAACCCUACAUACCGGAACCCAUCUACCCCGACAUCAUCUUAAUUGAUGAGCGAAGGAUG
Long non-coding RNA from Thamnophis elegans (Western terrestrial garter snake), 916 nucleotides. RefSeq lists it as uncharacterized. The transcript has 4 exons. Lineage: Eukaryota; Metazoa; Chordata; Lepidosauria; Squamata; Natricidae. The record is from RefSeq and is a predicted model, not a curated record.